GACGAACGCUGGCGGCGUGCCUAAUACAUGCAAGUCGAGCGGAAGGAUGGGAGCUUGAUAACAGAAAAUAAGCGGCGGACGGGUGAGUAACCCGUGGGCAAAAUGACUGUAAGACUGGGAUAACUCCGGGAAACCGGGGCUAAUACCGGAUGACUCUGUCCCUCGCAUGAGUGAAAGCUGAAAGAUGGCAUCUCGCGAUCACUUACCGAUGGGCCAGCGGCGCAUUAGCUAGUUGGUGAGGUAACGGCUCACCAAGGCGACGAUGCGUAGCGGACCUGAGAGGUUGACUGGCCACACUGGGACUGAGACACGGCCCAGACUCCUACGGGAGGCAGCAGUAGGGAAUCUUCCGCAAUGUACGAAAGUCUGACGGAGCAACGCCGCGUGAGUGAUGAAGGUUUUCGGAUCGUAAAACUCUGUUGUUAGGGAAGCACAAGUACCGGAGUAACUGCCGGUCCCUUGACGGUACCUGACCAGAAAGCCACGGCUAACUACGUG
Molecule: ribosomal RNA, 498 nt
Filed under: uncultured bacterium
Lineage: Bacteria
Description: partial 16S ribosomal RNA
Rfam family: Bacterial small subunit ribosomal RNA
Source: RNAcentral